CAAACAUGAUCUUCCAAGAUUUCAACCCAAUUUUGAGGCAUUAAACCUAACAUUCUCCACCUUGACUCAAAAUUCCGAUGCAACGAACGAAACUCCAAAAUUUCAAAUCUGUCUGCUUCGAAAUGAACUGACCAAUCUCCUCAACACAAUAACCAAAAUCUCCAUCACUAAACCAUCAUCCUCUGUACAGCGUCCACAAGCAACAUCCGAACCCAAAUCCUGGGUUCCCAAAAUUCCACCAAGGAAUUACUAUUGACCAAACAGAGUCGAAGCACACCCUGUAGCAGAAAUCAUACUACAUGCUAGAUCAGAAGGCCACUUGCUAGAACUGUCACCUUCAAUGUCCCCUAAAGCAUUCCAGACAUUAUUGACACCACCGUUCCUACGCUCCAUGAGUCCAACCCUAGCAACUGAACACAGUGUAUCCGCUGAGAGCGGAAUCACCAACACUCUCCCUAGCAGUGUUUUUAACUAACUAAGAGCUCGCCACAAAAGGUACUGUACCAAACUGAACUUCCACCACAGUACUGAACUUGUCCAAAU
Molecule: long non-coding RNA, 543 nt
Filed under: Olea europaea subsp. europaea
Lineage: Eukaryota; Viridiplantae; Streptophyta; Magnoliopsida; Lamiales; Oleaceae
Source: RNAcentral